RNAcentral lists this ribosomal RNA (1767 nucleotides) under Capillaria tenuissima. RNAcentral's name for it is "SSU rRNA". It matches the Rfam family "Eukaryotic small subunit ribosomal RNA". Lineage: Eukaryota; Metazoa; Nematoda; Enoplea; Trichinellida; Capillariidae. The record is from RNAcentral.
UGUGCAAGUGCAAGUAAAUAGACGGUAAAACCGCGAACGGCUCAUUAGAACAGUUAUUGUUCGCAAGAAAUGCUAUCCACGUGGGAUAACUGUGGAAAUGCUAGAGCUAAUACAUGCCAUGAUGCUUUGAUUGUUCUCCUCAAAGCACAUUUAUUGGGUUCACACGGUUGGGCAGCGGCAUCGCCGCCUUGUCCCGACAUAUACCGUGAAAGGGAGUAACUAUGACGAUCGCAGGGUCUUAGAACCGGCGACGAAUCUUUGAAAUGACUUGCUCAUCAACUGUCGAUGGUAGGUUACGUGCUUACCAUGGUGAUUACGGUUAACGGAGAAUCAGGGUUCGACUCCGGAGAAGGAGCCUGAGAGACGGCUACUACUUCCAAGGAAGGCAGCAGGCACGCAAAUUACCCACUCCCAGCUCGGGGAGGUAGUGACGAUAAAUAACGGAACGUAUCUCGAUGAGACGCGUUACCGGAACGAUCGAGCCGUAUAUAAGCUGACAUAUACGAGCUCGGCGAAAGCUAUUGGAGGGCAAGUCUGGUGCCAGCAGCCGCGGUAAUCCCAGCUCCAAUAGCGUAUAUUAAAAGUGCUGCGGUUGAACCGCUGGUAGUUGGAUUGUGAGAUAUGGCCACGGUCCUCUGGUCCACGGAAGAUUGGUUUGCCGCCGUCGGCCGUCCAUUAUUCGGGUUGGAUUUGGUUCGUGGAUUUGUUCCGCCAGAUUGCUCCUUUUGUGGAGUGUUCGCCGGGAGACACAUGAACGUCCCACUUUGAACGGAAUUUCAAUAAUCGGCUUCAAAGCGGGCUGCUCCCAGAAAAAGCUUGAAGGGAAUUUCAGGGGGAUGGUGAAAGAGGAUCUCGCUGGUAGUAACAGAGCCGCGAGGUAAUGAUUAAAAGAGACAGACGGUGGCAUUCGUACUGCUACGUUAGAGGGCAUUUGCCUUGAAUGUUUUCAUUAAUCAAGAACGAAAGUUGGAGGAUCGAAGGCGAUCAGAUACCGCCCUAGUUGCGACUUUAAACGAUGCCAACUGGCGAUUCGGCGAUGUCUCUCUGACGACUCGCUGAGCAGCCCCCGGGAAACCAAAGUCUUUCGGUUCCGGGGGAAGUAUGGUUGCAAAGCUGAAACUUAAAGGAAUUGACGGAAGGGCACCACCAGGAGUGGAGCAUGCGGCUUAAUUUGACUCAACACGGGAAAGCUCACCCGUCCAGAACACUGUCAGGAUUGACAGAUUGAGAGCUCUUUCUUGAUUCAGUGGGUAGUGGUGCAUGGCCGUCUAGUGUUGGUGGAGCGAUUUGUCUGGCCAAUCCCGAUAACGAACGAGACUCUGGCCUACUAACUAGUGACGGCGUGGUCUUUUCGCCGAGCACUUCUUAGAGGGACCAGCGGCGGUAGAAAGCCGCACGAGAAAGAGCAAUAACAGGUCUGUUAUGCCCUUAGAUGGACGGGGCUGCACGCGUGCUACACUGAUGGCACCAGCGAGCGUCCAAACUUGGCUUGACAAAGUCAAGAGAUCAAUUGAAAUGUCUGUCGUGACUGGGAUAGGGAAUUGCAAUUAUUUCCCUUGAACGAGGAAUUCCCAGUAAGCGUAAGUCAUCAGCUUGCGUUGACUACGUCCCUGCCCUUUGUACACACCGCCCGUCGCUACUACCGAUUGGAUGAUUUAGUGAAGCCUUUGGAUUGAUGCUGCGCGUCCGAUAGUCUAUUAGUCGGACUGCAGCGUUGAGAAAUUGGCCGAACCAAUUCAUCUAGAGGAAGUAAAAGUCGUAACAAGG